UGGGGAAUAUUGGACAAUGGGCGAAAGCCUGAUCCAGCCAUGCCGCGUGUGUGAAGAAGGUCUUCGGAUUGUAAAGCACUUUAAGUUGGGAGGAAGGGCAUUAACCUAAUACGUUAGUGUUUUGACGUUACCGACAGAAUAAGCACCGGCUAACUCUGUGCCAGCAGCCGCGGUAAUACAGAGGGUGCAAGCGUUAAUCGGAAUUACUGGGCGUAAAGCGCGCGUAGGUGGUUUGUUAAGUUGGAUGUGAAAUCCCCGGGCUCAACCUGGGAACUGCAUUCAAAACUGACUGACUAGAGUAUGGUAGAGGGGGGUGGAAUUUCCUGUGUAGCGGUGAAAUGCGUAGAUAUAGGAAGGAACACCAGUGGCGAAGGCGACCACCUGGACUAAUACUGACACUGAGGUGCGAAAGCGUGGGGAGCAAACA
This 427-nucleotide ribosomal RNA is filed under the name uncultured bacterium. RNAcentral describes it as "partial 16S ribosomal RNA". It matches the Rfam family "Bacterial small subunit ribosomal RNA", at positions 355 to 774 of the family's 1533-position model. The record is from RNAcentral.